AGCUAAUACCGCAUAACGUCGCAAGACCAAAGUGGGGGACCUUCGGGCCUCAUGCCAUCAGAUGUGCCCAGAUGGGAUUAGCUAGUAGGUGGGGUAACGGCUCACCUAGGCGACGAUCCCUAGCUGGUCUGAGAGGAUGACCAGCCACACUGGAACUGAGACACGGUCCAGACUCCUACGGGAGGCAGCAGUGGGGAAUAUUGCACAAUGGGCGCAAGCCUGAUGCAGCCAUGCCGCGUGUGUGAAGAAGGCCUUCGGGUUGUAAAGCACUUUCAGCGGG
This 280-nucleotide ribosomal RNA is filed under the name Mycobacterium tuberculosis. RNAcentral describes it as "partial 16S ribosomal RNA". It matches the Rfam family "Bacterial small subunit ribosomal RNA", at positions 161 to 443 of the family's 1533-position model. The record is from RNAcentral. Lineage: Bacteria; Bacillati; Actinomycetota; Actinomycetes; Mycobacteriales; Mycobacteriaceae.